RNAcentral lists this ribosomal RNA (406 nucleotides) under uncultured bacterium. Its description in RNAcentral is "partial 16S ribosomal RNA". It matches the Rfam family "Bacterial small subunit ribosomal RNA", at positions 30 to 526 of the family's 1533-position model. The record is from RNAcentral.
AUUGAACGCUGGCGGCAGGCCUAACACAUGCAAGUCGAACGAGUGGCGGACGGGUGAGUAAUGUCUGGGAAACUGCCUGAUGGAGGGGGAUAACUACUGGAAACGGUAGCUAAUAACGCAUACCAUCGGAUGUGCCCAGAUGGGAUUAGCUAGUAGGUGGGGUACCGGCUCACCUCGGCGACGAUCCCUAGCUGGUCUGAGAGGAUGACAAGCCACACGGGAACUUGGCCACGGUCCAGACUCCUACGGGAGGCAGCAGUGGGUAAUAUUGCACAAUGUGCGCAGGCCUGAUUCAGCCAUGCCGCGUGUAUGAAGAAGGCCUUCGGGUUGUAAAGUACUUUCCGCGGGGAGGCGUUACCCGCAGAAGAAGCACCGGCUAACCCCGUGCCAGCAGCCGCGGUAAUUC